CAACAUUAGCGAGUGCGAGAGUCGAUCACUGAGAGUGAGUGGAUUAUUCAGGUUGAAAUGAUGACCAGUGAUUAGGUCAUUCUACGUAAUCGUGAAUGGUCAAUGAAAAAUCAAGUCAAAGACUUAUGGACUUGUACCUACAUGUAAACAUAAACAAGUACGUGUAGCGUCGGAUCAGUUCUUAUUUAACACACAAUUAAUUAGGCUAUCUUGGAGUAAAGUUCUUGGAAAUGCAGAAUUUAGUCUGUAAUUUAUGGACUGUUGGAAAAGUUGUCACGACUGAAGUAGCAGGACAUAGUGUUAGCAUGAUGAAUUCUAUACAGACAUGGAGAAAGAAGCGUACUGCCUAUGAGGAAUUAUCACCCGACGAAGAAAUUCACAAUAUACUAAAUAUGUACUCCGCCGAGGAGCUAGGACACAAAGCAGAGAGGUAUUUAAUGAACCUACGGACUGAUAUACUAGAUAUCGCAGCAGAACACGACAAUGCUAUCAGAGUUCAGUUAUAUAUAUUCAGGAACUCACAUUCGUUUGGAUCUGGACGGAACUGCAUUGUAAUAAAUAUUACAGACUCCGACAUGAAAAUAAAAACAAAUCAGCCGGCAUCGCCAAAGAAAAAGACACCUCGUGGUUAAAGUCUUUCUGUCAGAUGGGCCAAUAAUACAAAAGAUGCUUUGAAAAGAAUAUCGUCUUUUAAUUUCUUGUGAUAUUUAUUAAGUGUAAUAGUUAAUUUAUAUUGUAUACACACAUCGCAUUUGUAA
This is a long non-coding RNA of Mytilus californianus (California mussel), 758 nucleotides long. RefSeq lists it as uncharacterized. The record is from RefSeq and is a predicted model, not a curated record. The transcript is spliced from 3 exons. Lineage: Eukaryota; Metazoa; Mollusca; Bivalvia; Mytilida; Mytilidae.